This 1585-nucleotide long non-coding RNA is filed under the name Calidris pugnax (ruff). RNAcentral describes it as "lncRNA (ENSCPUG00000000226.1)". The record is from RNAcentral. Lineage: Eukaryota; Metazoa; Chordata; Aves; Charadriiformes; Scolopacidae.
GAGCUUUUUGAUGGAGGGGAAAUGGCCAUGCUUAUUUCUUUUUUAAACAGUAUAUUUCAGAGUCUGAAGGCCUCAGUUUUCUGGAUCACGCAGUAGCUCUUGAAUCCAGGGUUUUUUUCAAGCUCACACUCUGUGUUACGUAGUCGGUUGGGAUUUUUUUGUGCAGUAAGAAACAGCUCCGCUUGUCUUGGAUUUGGUUGACACAAUGUAAGGGCUUGUGACCAAGGAUGAGCAGGAUCCAGCUAAAUCCAGGUUUUACGUUUUCCCCUCUUAAGAAAGUAAGGCUUCGACGUUUCCUGCCGGGGAAGUGGUGCAGUUUAUCUUUAAGGAGGCUAGAGAAAUAAGAAAUGAGUCUCACGUUGCAUGGGUGACAUCACUGGCUUUUGGCUCAGCGCUCUGUAUUCUCUGUCUGUAGGCUUUAGCCAAGGCUGCAGGGCUCGGUGUUUGAACAAGGAAAGAUUCCCAGGUGUACGGAAGAUUGGAUUCACUCUUAUUUGGGUUAAAAACGGUGAAAUGAGAUUUCUAAAGCUUGGGGACUCCAGCUCGCCUUCUGUUGCACUUGAUCUCUACGAGAUGGAUGGCUAACGUGCCGCCGUGUUAGGCAAACUGUGCACAACACAUCCCAGCGCCGGGGGACGAAGGAAGCCUUUUCAGAUACCAGCGGAAAAAGGGGGUGGUGGUGGUGGAAAAACAAAACGAUGCUGGGGCCGAGGACCGCUUCCAGUGCUGCCUAGCGGGAGGCGGGCGGUCGCGGCGGGUUCCCCCCCCCCGCCGCCUCUCCCGGUACCGGGAGCGGGGAGGGUCGGCGCCGCGCUCGCCGGGAGGGAGAGCCGAAGGAAGGGCCGCCGGGGCGCUCCGGGGAAGGGGCCGUGGCGUUACCGCUGCCUGGAUGACAGCGCAGACGACAAAAGCGGGCGAGUGAACGGCAAGGCUGGCAGAGAGAAGCCGAAGGUGUUUCCGGAGGCGAGAUGUCAGUGACUGUCAGCGAAGUCUGCUAAGGGAGGGAGAGCUGUGCGUGCCUGCGGUUCCACAUCCAGCCGGGGAGGUUGUAUUGUAGCCGCGAUUUAAAACGGCGGCAGCAACAACAACAGAUUGCUUUCCCCCACUCUUGCUCCCUCCCCUUCGACCCCACUUUAAACCCAAGCAAGAGACCCACCGUCCAGAGGAUGAUGCUCUCCCUGAGCCGCUGACAAAAGAAAAGGCAAGUCACCCAUUCCUGAAACCGGGAUACCCGGCUGCUUGCAAGCGGGAGAUCUCUAGCUGUUGAACUUUUCUGUCCUGUGAUGAUGCUGUCGUGAGCCUGCUGAUCUGAAAGCCAUCUCUUCUGGAUUUCCGAGCUGGCCAGAUUGAAAGAGAUUAAUGGACUGAUCAAACAGCCGUAGCUUUCAGCUUCAGGGGAGACAGAAGCCAUCAACCCUUUUUGCUCGGGUGCUUGUGGUGAGGGGAGCAGGACAUCUUUGUAUAGGUGGGUCACUGGCUUGCUCCCGUUCGAGGUGGAAGGCUGUGUUUCUCCUCGUCAGGUCUCCUCCGCAGAGGAGAAGAGGCAGAUGAGACUCCAGGACUGCCUCCAGGGCAGAACUUUGUA